This 251-nucleotide ribosomal RNA is filed under the name uncultured bacterium. Its description in RNAcentral is "partial 16S ribosomal RNA". It matches the Rfam family "Bacterial small subunit ribosomal RNA", at positions 525 to 775 of the family's 1533-position model. The record is from RNAcentral.
ACGGAGGGUGCAAGCGUUAUCCGGAUUUAUUGGGUUUAAAGGGUCCGUAGGCGGACUGAUAAGUCAGUGGUGAAAUCCGACAGCUUAACUGUCGAACUGCCAUUGAUACUGUUAGUCUUGAGUAAGGUUGAAGUGGCUGGAAUAAGUAGUGUAGCGGUGAAAUGCAUAGAUAUUACUUAGAACACCAAUUGCGAAGGCAGGUCACUAAGUCUUAACUGACGCUGAUGGACGAAAGCGUGGGGAGCGAACAG